RNAcentral lists this ribosomal RNA (1362 nucleotides) under metagenome. RNAcentral's name for it is "bacterial LSU rRNA". It matches the Rfam family "Bacterial large subunit ribosomal RNA", at positions 1582 to 2925 of the family's 2925-position model. The record is from RNAcentral.
UUGGCGAAGUCAGUGAUCCUAUGCUACCGAGAAAAGCCUCUAGUGAGUGGCACCGCGGCCCGUACCCCAAACCGACACAGGUGGUCAGGUAGAGAAUGCCAAGGCGAUCGAGUGAACCAUGGUUAAGGAACUCGGCAAAAUGCCCCCGUAACUUCGGGAGAAGGGGGGCCCCGGCCGGUGACAGGACUUGCUCCUGAAGCUGGCUGAGGCCGCAGAGACCAGGCUGAAGCGACUGUUUACUAAAAACACAGGUCCAUGCCAAGUCGCAAGACGAUGUAUAUGGACUGACGCCUGCCCGGUGCUGGAACGUUAAGGGGACGGGUUAGCGCGCAAGCGCGAAGCUCAGAACUUAAGCGCCAGUAAACGGCGGUGGUAACUAUAACCAUCCUAAGGUAGCGAAAUUCCUUGUCGGGUAAGUUCCGACCUGCACGAAUGGCGUAACGACUUCAGCGCUGUCUCAACCGUGGACUCGGCGAAAUUGCACUACGAGUAAAGAUGCUCGUUACGCGCGGCAGGACGAAAAGACCCCGGGACCUUUACUAUAGCUUUGUAUUGGUGGUUGGUUCGGCUUGUGUAGGAUAGGUGGGAGACUGUGAAGCAGGGACGCCAGUUCUUGUGGAGUCGUCCUUGAAAUACCACUCUGGUCGUACUGGCUGUCUAACCUAGGUCCGUGAUCCGGAUCAGGGACAGUGCAUGGUGGGUAGUUUAACUGGGGCGGUUGCCUCCUAAAGAGUAACGGAGGCGCCCAAAGGUUCCCUCAGCCUGGUUGGCAAUCAGGUGUCGAGUGCAAGUGCACAAGGGAGCUUGACUGUGAGACCGACGGGUCGAGCAGGGACGAAAGUCGGGACUAGUGAUCCGGCGUCGGCAUGUGGAAGCGACGUCGCUCAACGGAUAAAAGGUACCCCGGGGAUAACAGGCUGAUCUUCCCCAAGAGUCCAUAUCGACGGGAUGGUUUGGCACCUCGAUGUCGGCUCGUCGCAUCCUGGGGCUGGAGUAGGUCCCAAGGGUUGGGCUGUUCGCCCAUUAAAGCGGUACGCGAGCUGGGUUUAGAACGUCGUGAGACAGUACGGUCCCUAUCCGCCGUGCGCGUAAGAGUCUUGAGAAGGGCUGUCCCUAGUACGAGAGGACCGGGACGGACGAACCUCUGGUGUGCCAGUUGUCCUGCCAAGGGCACGGCUGGUUGGCUACGUUCGGAACGGAUAACCGCUGAAAGCAUCUAAGCGGGAAGCCGGCUUCAAGAUGAGGACUCUCACCGGGUUAACCGGGUAAGGCCCCCAGCGAGACCACUGGGUUGAUAGGCCGGAGGUGGAAGUGCAGCAAUGCAUGGAGCUGACCGGUACUAAUAGGCCGAGGGCUUGACCA